GACAAACUGCAGGGUAAUCCGAGACAGGUGCACUAUCUUCUCUGUAAUACUGUCAUUUGGUGUACUUACUCCAGUCGCAGUCGUUGCUGGUGUAUCCUUGAGGUUAGACGUCCACCACUGCCGGCACGGCUCGCCGAGUCUACCAGCGAAAAAUUUCCCAAGAGUCUAAGCGUUGGUCUCGGCAGACAAACACCAGGUUUGAUUAUCGCCCUGUUUACAGCCUACUUUGCCAGACGACAGACAAGCAGACGAUGAGUGGAGUUCACUUCAGCCCCUGAGUAGAGUCGUGUAAAGCAGGGGGUGUGCUGACAGACAACAAAUUAGACAGGUACCCAGGCAACAUGUGCCAAGGGCCACCCUCUUCUCUCCUGCUCACACAAUGACGAGGACGUACAUGUCAGAGGUUUGAGAGGCAGCAACGAAGCCGAGUUUUGUUUUGAAUCUAAUAAAUAAAGGUAUGGAUGAAGAUGUUUGUUUGUUUAUAUAUACGUGAGUGUUUUUGAGUUAGAAGAAGUUACGCUCUUAUGCACAGGAAAAGUUGCAGUUGAGUUGAAGGAUAACAAAGACAAUUUUCCUACAAAUGUUUCUUCUUGGUAAUAACUACAGUUGGUUUUUUCACUUAUGAAUUUUAAACCAGAGGGCACUUAUCUAAUGUUAGGAUACUUUUCUUAGUUAACAAUGGUAUUAAACAGUUUAAGAAACAAAUAUCAAGGUAGGUUCAGUUGAAGUUAAAGAAUAGAUUUAUUUUUCUAGACAAAUUUCAGAUUAAGCUUUCUUAUUUCACCAGCAUAAGGGAAAAAAUACUAUAGUGCAUUUCAAAUAAAAGUGUGUUGUUAAAAACAUUUUAUACUUACUUUAUUUUACCGUUUUAAUCAUUUUGAAUUUUUUUUUUUUUCGAUGUCGGUCUUUAUCAUGGCUGUCUUGCAGUCGCCAACGCUUCUCACAUUCAGUCUCUGACAAUAACUUCUCAUGUUUCUGCCUCUUUUUUCUUUUUCUGUUUUUUUUUUUUUUCGUAGGCAUCGUUUUACUUGCGUCGCCAUUUUACCCAUGUUCUCUCUCCAGAGGGUCGAGUGUCGUCGCAAUGUGAUGAUUGCUAAUCUAACAUCAGGCUGUGUGACUGACUGAGGAGCCGUAUUCUGAUUCUACACGCUUUCUGCAUCCAGGACUUGAUCGACUUUUUUUAAUUCUACUUUUUGUUCUUUUUUUCCCUUCUAUGAGGCCGAACAAAGGGAGAUAACUUUAGUUUACUAGUCAUAGAGCAGCAGUUACUUAUCUCCCCUACUUAGGCCUCGUGCUAUCAUGCAAAAACACUUUACCACUUGUCGACUGAUUGUGUUUGGAGCCAGUUUGACCUGUUGAGUUCUUUAGUUAUUUUAAAUCUGGGUCAGAAAAGAGAAAUAAAAAUGUCGUCAGAUGGAUUAGCCAGAUGUAGAGGUUAUUUACA
Molecule: long non-coding RNA, 1444 nt
Organism: Pomacea canaliculata
Lineage: Eukaryota; Metazoa; Mollusca; Gastropoda; Architaenioglossa; Ampullariidae
Exons: 3
Source: RefSeq, a predicted model, not a curated record